CGAUAACGUAUUAUCUCCCUCUCGCGCUGUUGCGAGGGAGACAGCCUAAUUUCGUCACUCUCACGUGAUAUGCUCUCAACCAAUAAAACACUAGAAAAAUGCGACUUUGACUAAUGAUAUAUAAUAACACUUUAUAAUACAUUGCAUAACACUUUUUAAAAUGUGGCUUUCUUUUCCUUUACUGUAUAUAGCAAUCAUUACUGAAGAUAUCCCAAACCAUUGUCCACCGACUUGCAUGCCAACCAACAUGUGUCGACCCCAGUGCCCCAUACAAUGCUGUACCCCUCCCACCACAAAUACCUGUCAACAACAAGCCUGUCCCAGCGCAUGCGCACCAGGUUGUACAACGACAUGCUGCUCGCUUGGAUCGUCGGCUCACCUUGUUAAAAAAUCCACAAAAUUAACAAAAAGUUAAACGCUGAUGGGGACAAGUUUGAAAACAAAUUGCUCGCUUACAUUAAGUGACGGUAAACAAUAAACUACUGAGGAAAGAACACUUUUAAAGUAAAAUAUUGUAACAUAUACUUACAAGCCUAAUGGUAUAAAGGUAAAAGAGUUGUAAACUGUAUACUUAAAAGUAAUGAUGAACCACAAAAUUACUGCUGUUAAAGUUUUUUAUUUCUUACCAUUAAAAA
Paramuricea clavata is the source of this 635-nucleotide non-coding RNA. NCBI's taxonomy places the organism in Eukaryota, Metazoa, Cnidaria, Anthozoa, Malacalcyonacea, Plexauridae. The record is from the annotation of a GenBank genome assembly.